RNAcentral lists this ribosomal RNA (226 nucleotides) under uncultured bacterium. RNAcentral describes it as "partial 16S ribosomal RNA". It matches the Rfam family "Bacterial small subunit ribosomal RNA", at positions 28 to 244 of the family's 1533-position model. The record is from RNAcentral.
GACGAACGCUGGCGGCGCGCUUAACACAUGCAAGUCGAGCGAGAACCAGAACUUCGGUUCUGGGGACAGCGGCGAACGGGUGAGUAACACGUGGGUAAUCUGCCCUCGAUUCUGGGAUAGCCCGGGGAAACCCGGAUUAAUACCGGAUAGCCUUUCUAGGUUUUCGGUACUUGGAAGAAAAGGUAAGCUUCGGCCUCCGAUCGAGGAUGAGCCCGCGGUGGAUUAG